UACAGUUGUUGCAGUUAAAAAGCUCGUAGUUGAAUUUCGGGAUCAAUACGACGGUCGUGCCUCCGGUAUGUACUGGAGUUGUUGGUUUCUCCUUUCUGAGGGGCCAUGAUGCCAUUAAUUUGGUGUCGUGGGGAAUCAGGACUGUUACUUUGAAAAAAUUAGAGUGUUUAAAGCAGGCACACGCUUGAAUACAUUAGCAUGGAAUAAUGAAGUAGGACGUUCGAUUCUAUUUUGUUGGUUUCUAGGAUCAACGUAAUGAUUAAUAGGG
RNAcentral lists this ribosomal RNA (268 nucleotides) under uncultured Glomus. RNAcentral's name for it is "partial small subunit ribosomal RNA". It matches the Rfam family "Eukaryotic small subunit ribosomal RNA", at positions 605 to 877 of the family's 1831-position model. Lineage: Eukaryota; Fungi; Glomeromycota; Glomeromycetes; Glomerales; Glomeraceae. The record is from RNAcentral.